RNAcentral lists this long non-coding RNA (1271 nucleotides) under Anser cygnoides (Swan goose). RNAcentral's name for it is "lncRNA (ENSACDG00005016965.1)". Lineage: Eukaryota; Metazoa; Chordata; Aves; Anseriformes; Anatidae. The record is from RNAcentral.
GCCUGCAUGGAAUAUCUCCAUCUCUGACAAAGGUGCCUAGAUCUGUGGUGUGUUGGCAUCCCAGAUGAGGGCACCGCUCUGUUUGUGUUAACAGAAAAUGCCAUCGAAAUUAACAGUGCACGAAUGUUGUUGUGGUCAGACAGUGUCAGCGCAAUAAAUUACCGUACGUGUGAGAGGUGGCAGGCUGGGAGUCUCUCCGUACUCCAUCCUUCCUGGGAUGAAGCUGCUCGUUCUUCCUUGUUAAAUGCACACGGUAGCAGUCGUAAGGGAUUUUUGUCCUGUUAGUCCCCGAAGAUCAGAGAGGAGCUGAUGCAAAGAGGAAAUAUACUGCACAGGAUUAAACAGCAGAGGGUAUGCAUGCUCGCGCACACCCGGGCAGCGUGUCUGCUCUUGUGCUCUGUAUUGUUAUUGACACACCGCACCUUAAUGGCUAUAAUGUCAAUGGGCACUUUGGGACCUUUACUCGUGGAUUAUUAAUGCAUUAGACCACAGCUUUUAUGGGUUAUCAUGUCAAGAGCGGUGGGAGUGGAUGCCUGCAGUAUACGGGCAGAAUAAAGAUAUUUUUUAAUCAGAGCUGCAUGUACAGCAGAGCCCUGUACUAAACCUCAGAAAUCCCAUUUGCUGCUGUGCCAUACCUGCUCCCAGCAUGUGUGAUCUCACUGCGACUUGGCGGGCAGCGUGGAAACAAUGACAGCGACCAGAGGAAAAGGGACUGGAAAUACAGUCCGGGGAAAGGAAGGGAUGCUUGCCGCUGUAACUAGGCAAUUGCGCAUUGCCGUCCCAGGAUGGGGGAGAUUAUUUCCUGGUGCUAGCCACUGAUACCCUGCAACAUGAAGAUUAAUAGGCUCUUUAUUUUAUUGUUAGGAACUGCAGGUGCUGCUUUUAUUUAUAUAAAUGUGUGCUGGCUCCUGGCCGUGGGCUCAGCCCAGGACGAAUUCUCCUGUGGGACUUCAGGGAGAGGAACUUUCUCAUACUGCCUCUGCCCGAGAGCCAACGUCACAUCACAUUUGAAUGUGAGCAUGGAGUGCCUGCAUGGUCCUUUGAUAGAAACUACAGGAAACACUGAUGGGGCACAAUGUCCAUGCCUUCUUCCACAGCUGGGCUGUCUCACCAUAACCACGAGAGCAGGGGAAGGAAAGCAGGAUGGCAGCAACGUGGCCAGGGCUGUUCAGAGGGAGGAAAGCAGUUAUCUGUCUCUAUUCAUGGAGGGGUUUUCUGCACAAUCUGCUUCCAGACACUUUUUUUUUUUUCCCCAAGCUCAUUCCUCUUAA